RNAcentral lists this ribosomal RNA (361 nucleotides) under uncultured bacterium. RNAcentral describes it as "partial 16S ribosomal RNA". It matches the Rfam family "Bacterial small subunit ribosomal RNA", at positions 338 to 697 of the family's 1533-position model. The record is from RNAcentral.
CCUACGGGAGACAGCAGUGAGGAAUAUUGGUCAAUGGCCGCAAGUCUGAACCAGCCAAGCCGCGUGCAGGAAGACGGUGCCAAGCAUUGUAAACUUCUUUUGUCCAGGGACAAACGCAGGCACGCGUGCCUGUCUGAGAGUACCUUACGAACAAGCAUCGGCUAACUCCGUGCCAGCAGCCGCGGUAAUACGGAGGAUUCAAGCGUUAUCCGGAUUUAUUGGGUUUAAAGGGUGCGUAGGCGGUCGGUUAAGUUAGCGGUAAAAGCCCGGGGCUCAACCCCGGAGAGCCGUUGAAACUGGCCGUCUUGAGAGGUCGUGAGGUAGGCGGAAUGCGCGGUGUAGCGGUGAAAUGCUUAGAUAU